AAACACAUCAGCUAACAUCAAUGGAAGCAGAUGCAGAAUCUAAAAUAAUGUGUUGAGCUUUACUAAAAAACCAAAGAAUUCUCUCCCAAACCCAUAAUUGAUAAUUCAAUUCACUACUAUCAAAACAUGUGAGCCUAUAAGGGGGAUGAGAUCAACCAAUACUUGAUAAUUCAAUGCAAACACCAACCAUAUCAGUCAUACGGUGAGCAUAAAACUGACCAGAGGGGACGAGACUCGAGAGU
Long non-coding RNA from Arabidopsis thaliana (thale cress), 242 nucleotides. RefSeq annotates it as other RNA. The record is from RefSeq. The transcript has a single exon. Lineage: Eukaryota; Viridiplantae; Streptophyta; Magnoliopsida; Brassicales; Brassicaceae.